RNAcentral lists this ribosomal RNA (1823 nucleotides) under marine metagenome. Its description in RNAcentral is "bacterial LSU rRNA". It matches the Rfam family "Bacterial large subunit ribosomal RNA", at positions 1118 to 2925 of the family's 2925-position model. The record is from RNAcentral.
AUCAUUUAAAAAGUGCGUAAUAGCUUACUAGCCGAGUACUUUUGUGCCGAAAAUUAGCGGGACUAAAGCUCAUUACCGAAACUAUGGAUCCUAAUCUUUUAGGAUGGUAGGGGAGCGUUCUAUGAUAGGUUGAAGCCUUACAAAAAUGAGAGGUGGACGAAAUAGAAGUGAGAAUGCCGGUAUAAGUAGCGAUAAUAUAAGUGAGAAUCUUAUUCGCCGAAAGCCUAAGGUUUCCUGGGGAAGGUAAAUCCGCCCAGGGUUAGCCGGUACCUAAGUCGAGGUCGAAAGGCGUAGACGAUGGACAACAGGUUAAUAUUCCUGUGCUGCUAUUUAACGUUUGAGCUUGGGAGGACGUGGACACAACGAUUAGCAAACCCAGUAGACAUGGUUUGUUCAAGCUGGAGGCACCGCUCUAGGAAAAUCCGGAGCAAUAAGGUGUCGAAAGCGAGUACGUUGGCUCUUGGCCUAGAAGUAAUCUGAGUGUCUUCCAAGAAAAGUCUCGUUAGCGAGUUAACAUGGCAACCGUACUAAAACUGACACAGGUAGGCAAGGAGAGAAUCCUAAGGCGCUCGAGAGAACCCUCGUUAAGGAAUUCGGCAAACAUACUCCGUAACUUCGGGAUAAGGAGUGCCUUUUUAACUUCGGUUAAAAAGGUCGCAGUGAAAAAGGUCCGGGCGACUGUUUACUAAAAACACAGGUCUCUGCUAAAAUGUAUAAUUGAUGUAUAGAGACUGACGCGUGCUCGAUGCCAGAAAGUUAAGGGGAUAGGUUAUUUCCUGAGCAAUCAGGAGAGAAGCUUGGAACUGAAGCUCUGGUGAAUGGCGGCUCUAACUAUGAGAGUCCUAAGGUAGCGAAGUUCCUUGUCGGGUAAUUUCCGACGCGCAUGAAUCGCGUAACGACCUGGACACUGUCUCAACGAGGGACUCGGCGAAAUUGUAGUUGUGGUGAAGAUGCCACAUACCCGCGGAAAGACGGAAAGACCCCGUGAACCUUUACUGUAGCUUAUUAUUGGAUUUUGGCGCAGUAUGUGUAGGAUAGGUGGGAGACGAGGAAGUUUCGACGUAAGUUGGAAUGGAGUCAAUGGUGAAAUACCACUCUUACUUUGUUAAAAUUCUAAAGGAAUACCGUGAAUCCGGGUUCUUGACAGUGGUAAGUGGGCAGUUUGACUGGGGCGGUCUCCUCCAAAAAAGUAACGGAGGAGUCCAAAGGCUCCCUCAAUGCGGUUGGCAACCGCAUGUAGAGUGUAAAGGCAUAAGGGAGCUUAACUGCGAGACCCAUAAGUCGAGCAGGUGUGAAAGCAGGGCUUAGUGAUCCGGCGGUUUCUGAGUGGAAAGGCCGUCGCUCAACAGAUAAAAGGUACUCCGGGGAUAACAGGCUGAUCUCCUCCGAGCGUUCAUAGCGGCGAGGAGGUUUGGCACCUCGAUGUCGGCUCAUCGCAUCCUGGGGCUGAAGAAGGUCCCAAGGGUUUGGGAGUUCACCAAUUAAAGCGGUACGCGAGCUGGGUUUAGACCGUCGUGAGACAGGUCGGUCCCUAUCUUCCGUGGGCGUACGAUAUUUGAGAAAAUCUGCCUCUAGUACGAGAGGAUCGAGGUGGACGAACCUAUGGUGAGUCAGUUGUUGUGCUAACAGCAUGGCUGAGUAGCUAAGUUCGGAAAGGAUAAACGCUGAAAGCAUAUAAGCGUGAAGCCUGCUUUAAGACUAGAUAUCGUUCUCUAAUUUAUUAGGGUGAAGACAUCUUAAAGACUAUGAGAUUGAUAGGCCAGGUGUGUAAGUCCGGUAACGGAUUCAGCUAACUGGUACUAAUUUGUCGAAAAGCUUGAUCA